This 253-nucleotide ribosomal RNA is filed under the name uncultured bacterium. RNAcentral describes it as "partial 16S ribosomal RNA". It matches the Rfam family "Bacterial small subunit ribosomal RNA", at positions 524 to 776 of the family's 1533-position model. The record is from RNAcentral.
UACGUAGGGUGCGAGCGUUAAUCGGAAUUACUGGGCGUAAAGCGUGCGCAGGCGGUUGUGCAAGACAGAUGUGAAAUCCCCGGGCUUAACCUGGGAACUGCAUUUGUGACUGCACGGCUAGAGUGUGUCAGAGGGGGGUAGAAUUCCACGUGUAGCAGUGAAAUGCGUAGAUAUGUGGAGGAAUACCGGUGGCGAAGGCGGCAUCCUGGACCAUAACUGACGCUGAGGCGCGAAAGCUAGGGGAGCAAACGGG